Molecule: long non-coding RNA, 6048 nt
Filed under: Heterocephalus glaber (naked mole-rat)
Lineage: Eukaryota; Metazoa; Chordata; Mammalia; Rodentia; Bathyergidae
Description: lncRNA (ENSHGLG00000037552.1)
Source: RNAcentral
GGUGGUUUAAUCUCUCUGAGCCUCCUUGUUUUCAUCCAUAAAAUGGGCAUAAGGAUGCCAACCUUACAGCAGCACUAUGAGCGUUAAAUAUAAAGCAUUUGUUGCCACAUGGGCAAAUGGACAUGAUAAAAAAUGUAAGUUUCCUCACUUAGGAAGAAAGAAAGUCUUUAUUUGGGGAAGGGGAAGUUUACCUUUAAGUUUAUAAAAAAAAAAUUAGUUUGUCUCUAUUAGAUCAAUAUGGGAAAAAUCACUACAUUAGGAUCCCCAAACUCCCCCAUCCAGUCUGUCCCAGGCAGACUUCAGGACAUGCACCUUGCUUGGUCCACAUGGUAAAUUUGAACCCAGUUAAAAUCAGAGGUUUCUUAACACAAUAAUCCUGUGAUUUCAGAGUAGUCUUCUUUAUUAUGAUUUUUUGAAAGGCCAUGCUUAAUAUAUUGCCUCUAUACCUUGGUUUCCUUAUCCCAGAGGGUAAAGAGUAGACCUGUGUCCUUAAAUUGGCCCCUUCUGGGGACAGUUAUCUGUAAUUCCAAGGUCUCCUCAGUCUUUUAUCCCUUUGCCCCUGAAUUGCUGGCAUCUCCCUAACACAGCCUAGCACUGGCACAUAAUAAGUGCUCAAGAAACCUAGAAUGACUCCCAAGCUUCAUUUCUCACCUUAGUUUAUCUUUAUUACGUCCCUCCCCAGCCACCCACUGCUGCAAGUGGAGCAGAAAUUCCCAUCUGCUGAGCUCUGCCUCUCUCGAGCAGCUUUGAUGGUGCCCCUCCCUGCCUGGCCUCCCCCGAGCCCUGCUGUGUGCACAUUUUCUCAGCUCUAAUAGAUUGUGUGUGCGGACACUUGAUUAGAAAGGUGUGCUUACAGAUAAAAGCAAGACAGGAACAGUAAAACUGCCUCCACUGUACAAACUCGGCUCUAAUUCUACCGCAAAUGAUCCCCAAAGCUUAAAGAGGCUCACAACCUUGGCUCCCAGGCCUGGGAAGGAUUAAGCGGGAGUCCACCUGGCUUUCCAGUGUCCCCUCAGGGUUCAGAAGGCUGAGUCCUAUUAAUACUGUCCCACAUCAAGUGCCCUGUUGCAAUUCUUCCCAGCCCCUACCUAGAGGUCUGCAGGGAAAAGAAUGUUUUUAAAUCAAGGACAAAACUUUGGCCUGAGCAGCUUGCAGGGACUCUGGGCUCUCAAUAGAGAAAUCUACCGUUCAGUGCAGACUUUGCCCACGAGAAGAAUUCUCUGCAAACAUCACCAAAGGCUGACCCCUGGCGAGUGCUUCUCUUCAUCCAAAGCACUUUGUUUGGUGGCUGAAUAUAAACUUAGUACUUGGACAUGGUGUGUCUGCAGUCCCAGACACAGCCGCCUUCACCUCUUCAAAGGACUGUCUGCAGCCCUACAAGUCCUCUAGUGAGCGCUAUUCAGUUUACUAAUAAAUGGCCUUGACUUGGGUCUGCCUUCCCCACCCAGCCACCUGGCUGCUGCCAACUCUAUCCAGGGCCUCUGGGGCUCCAGUGAGAUGCUGUGGGGCCCAGUACUCUUUCUUCUAAGAAGCUGUUGCUCUCUGUCUUUCCAGAUACCAUGAGAAAUCGGGGUCAGCCUUUGAUUUUUAUUUAUUCAUGCAUGUUCUCAGAGGCAGUGUUGUUGCCAAAGGGUUUAUGGACUUUUAAAGUUUUGGAGCCUGUGCUUUUAUCACCACUGUUUGUUGACUAGAAGUACCAUUUGGGGAAAGGUUCUGGUUGCCCUGUGCUGGGUGAUGGAUAAAGGAUUUGCAAUUCCCUUUUCUUUAAAACGUCCUGCACCCUAAGCAUCUGCUUCCCAGCACCACCAGCUGCCCAGACAGGUAUGGAUCCCUGGGUUCAGGUACUGUGUCCACAGGUCCCACUUUUUAUCCAUUUCAUUGCUGUCAUGUGAUUCAUCGUACUGAGUCCAAGGGCUGAGAAGCUCCGAGUACACUACAGCAGUGAUGCCAUUCGGGUGCUGACAGAUGUGUUCUCCGGGUUCUGACACAAGCACCUCUGAGCUGGCCUCAUCCCACAGUAGCAGAUCCAAGUUGGCUGUGUUGCCAGCAGGGCCACAGCAUGCCCCGGGCUCAGAAUCGAGUCUUAGUCAGCUGGGGUGCUGGGAUAGCAAAGCAUCUAGGCUGGGUGGCUUAGACAUGGCUGACAUCUGCUUCCCACAGUUCUGGAGGUAAAAAGUCCAGCUCAGGAUUCUAAGGAGCGCCCACUUCCUCACUGAUGGCAGCUUCUCCCUCUGUCCUCACAGUUAAAGGGGAGGAUUCUGGUCUCUUCAGCUCCUUGUAACAGCAUUAAUCCCAUUCCUGAGGUUCCCAUCCUCAGAACCAAAUCACCUCCUAAAGGCCCCACCUUCUAAUACCAUCUUUCAUCUUGAGGAUUAGGUUUCAGCAUUUGAAUAUGGAGGACAUGAGCAUUCAGUCCACAUACAGGUGGCAGUGGUCCUGUCAUUAGCUGGAGGGAGCUCAGGAAUGUGCUGUUCCUAACAUGGCUCAGUCCUCUGUCAAGAUCACAGGGGCUGCAGACCUAAGGAGCAAGAACAUAGGGGAAGGCAGGCAUCAGCAGAGGGUGAGCCUCAGAAUAACCAUUUACCCACUGUGACUUCAGGGUCAUUCAUCACUGCUUUGUUUCAGCUGCUGUGGCUCCUGACUGGGGACAAUAGGAUAACAAAUGCCAUGCAAAUGAAGUAAUGUAUGAGAAGUGCUGAGCAUAGUGUGGCAGGUGGAAUUCACCCCCUUCCUAAUUCCUGGAGCCUGUCUAGAUGUUGUGGUUCAUGGCAAAAGAGGUUCAAAUUAAGGGACGAGUCUUACAAUAGGAAGAUUCUCCUGCAUUAUCUGGGUGACCUAGGCCUAAUGUAAUCACAUGGGCCCUGUUAUAGGCUGAAUUAUGUCCCUUAACCCCAAUUCAUAUGUUGAAGCUCUAACCCGGUACCUCAGAAUAUAACAUUUGGAGAUUAGGUCUUUUAAAAAAUUGGUUAUACCAAUUAAUGGGUUUCAUUUUGGCAGAUUCAUAUGUGCAUAUAACUUACUUUGAUCAUUUUCCCCUCUUGCCCUAUCUUCCUCCCAGUUCCACAUUUUUUGGGGAGAGUUCAAUGUGUAUAGUAUAUUUUGCUCAUAUCCACCCCCAACUAUCCACCCUUAUACCCUUUCCCCUCCCUCUAUUCCCUUCCCUUGACUGAUAAUAGCCUCCCUUCUACUUUCUUUGCAUCUUUUUAGGGAGAUUUUAGGGAGAAUAUGCAAUAUUUGUCUUUCUGACUCUGGGCUUAUUUCACUCUACAUAAUAUUCUCCAGAUCCAUCCAUUUUCCUGAAGAUGACAGAAUUUUAUUCUUCCUUAUGGCCCCAUUGUAUAUUUAUAUCACAUUUUCUUUAUCGGUUCAUCUGGUGAUGGGUAUCUAGGCUGGUUCCAUAUCUUGGCUAUUAUGUGGAGAUGGGGUCUUUAAAGAGGUGAUGAAACUAGCAGUGAAGCUGCUGGGAGGGUCCUAAUCCAAUAUUUCUGAUGUCUUUGUAAGAAGAGGAGAUGAGGACAGAGACACACACAGAGGCUUGAGCACAGGGGAAUACAGGGAGAAGGGAGACAUCUGCACUCCAAGGAGAAAGGCUCUCAGGAGGAACCAGCCCCAAUCUUAGACUUCCAGCCUCUGUAACUGAGAAAAUGAAUUUUCAUCCUUUAAGCCACCCAGUCUGUGGCACUUUGUUAUGGUACCCAUUGUUGACUUUUCCAUCUUGGUUUCAAAUUUAACAAUAAGGAAACAAGCAAGAGAGGAGGAUCCACAGUGCCAGUGUGGAGGUGCACUGUGCUUUCUGUGCCCUGGACCAUGGUAUAGGAGGGAGAGUUUGGCUGUGGCACCUCCUGCAGCAAUGAGAAGCAGGUAGAGCUUGGCCUCCUGAGCCCUGGGCAGGGCACAGCAUUCUUCUCCUAUUACUUCAUCCACCAGAACAAAAAUCUCCUUCACCAGGGACCUUGACUACUCUGGGAGAAGUCCUUCCCUGUACCCAGGACAGAUUCGUGACAGCUCAGUUUGACUUCACCACCUCUGUGGCUUCCCACCACUGUCUGUGGCUGCACCCAAAUGCUGGCGCCUGAGGACACCCCGUCUGCCUGCUGAGGGGCCUCGGCAUCUUACCAGAGAGCACCUGUGUUUGUCAGGGUUUCCAGAAAAGCAGAGCUGAGGGGUUCUCAAAGAACCAGGAUGUCUUCAGCUGAUGUACUUUUGGCCUUGACUGUCACAGUAUCACAGGACCAUUGAGGCCUCAACUUGUGACUGGAGGAUGGCUCCUGACAGUGAGCAGCUUUCUUCCACCAUGCCAUCUGCCAUUGCAUUUCUGCCUUGGAGCCCGCUGACUGUGCAUGGACUGAACCUUCUAAAACCAUGAGCCAAAAUAAACCUAUCCUCCUUCUAAGUUGCAGGUGUUGAGUGUUUUGUCCAAGUGAUGGGAAAGUGACUAAUAUGCACCUUGAUUUUAGACUUUCCAGUCUCCAAUAUCAUGAGAAAUAAAUUUCUGUUGUUUAUAAGCCAGCACUCUACAGCAUUCUGUUUAGCAGGCCACACACACUAAUAUGGUAUUUUCCAAGCUCUUUGCCUCAUGGAUACAGAAGAGAUUCUGUAGCUCCAGACAUCAUUUCUGUACUCAAGUAGAAAGAAGUUAGGUGGGGAGUAGAAUGAGCAACAUCUAUCUCUUUAAUAAGAAAAGCAGUGCCUUCACAGAAGUAUUCUCAACCAACUUUCCUUGGUCUCAUUUGCCAGAAGUGGGUUCUAUGGUCACCUUUUUCCAAGAGAAGUUGGGAAAGUAAGGAAGAGGACUGUCAUGAUUCAUUAUCUGUUGCUGGGCACAUGGCCAAAGUAUAAGAAAAAAACAAAAAUGGGAAAUGGAUGCCGUGUAGGCCACUAACAGGUGGCUUGUCAGAACUUAUUUUUGAGAAUCGCAUCUCCAUGUAAAAUAUUUUAGAUUGAGAUUCAUUUAUGAUAACCAUCUUUGGAGCAAACAGGAUUUUUUCACUGGCUGCCUUAUGUAAACAAAACUGCUUCUGCAAGUGACUUAUUAACAUCCCAGCUAAGCCACCCUGUGGUUUGACCUUGGCUUGCUACCUUAGAGGGAACUGCUGAGUCCCGCAUGUUUACCAGCUGUUCUGUGCUGAAUGCUUGAGUAUCUGGAAAGCAAAUAAAGCCUAGUAGGCCUAUGCUUCCAGGGGAAGUUGGGGGCCUGGGGAGGGGAGCCUUCCUUUAACAAAGACAGUCCUUUCAAUGUCAGUGACAAAUGUGUUUGUACGAAGGCCUCAGAGAGUAGAGGGACAAGUGGUGGUUGCCCCUGGUAACCAAGGUGAACUCUAUUCCUGAUUGGAUGGGUUCACAAGGAGGGUAGUGGGGCCCUGGCUGCUGGGCUUUAGGUAGAUUUAAAAAAUCAUGCAAAGGAAGAGAAAACAAAGAGUAAGGAUCAAGAACCCAUGCAUGGGGGUGGGGGUGGGAGUGGUUUUUUGUUUCCUCUGCUAAUUAACAGCCAAGGAGGCCCUUUUCAGGUCAGGUCAGUGCAUAGGAGCCCUGGUACGGGGUGGACGCCACUCCCAAUGUUCCUAACACUAAAACAAUCAAUUUUCACCCCAAAGUAAAGUUAGGUAGUUGGUUAUAAGGGGUAGAGUGUUGAUAGUUGCCACCACAUUGUUCUUAUAAAUAAAAUGCAUGGUAACUUUAAAAUAAUAAAUGUGUGUGUAGCUGCUGACCAGUUCAUAGCUUUUCCAGCCUCUCGGUGUCCCAGUCUGGUGGGUAGCUGUCCUCAGGCUCCAGGCCAAGCAGUGGCCAGGGCACACUGUGCAGUGUCCAGAGGAACCGGACUUUCCUCUGGGGCUUGGUGACACACAGCUCCUCAUUAGCAACAGAAAAGACAGGGAGCUGGCUUGAGGCUGAGCCUGGCCUGCCCCAGAUUCUGGGUUUUGUUUUUCUGAUUCUGUCCUCGAACUGAUUCACUCCUCCUGCUCAUUCAGCUGGGAGAGGCUGAGCAGCUCUCUGACAGCCGAGGACAUGUCACUGCAGCAGAGAGCUGGCAAUUUGCAGUACCUGAAG